CUAUUGAUGCAAAGUAUGAGCAUUACUUUCAGCCAUAAUAGGAUAAAGCAGCAUGUGAUCACCCAAUUGUUUUCUUUAGCAGUUAAGCCAAGUCAACAAGCUAGAUAAAAAGUAGGCAGAAAAUCUAGAAUGCUCUGGUCAGACAUUAAGAGACAGCAUUACCUUGACUGGGAACUUGAUGACUAUAUUUGUUGAUAUAGACUGUAGAUAAUUAAUUUUACUUUUUAAUCAUAACAUAACACACCUGUAAUGUAGAAAUCAAUCUUAUUAUAAAUACUAUCAUCACUCGCCCGCAGGUCCUCUUCCUUGUGGUUCAAUAAUUAGUCAUAAGCUAUAUGUAAUAAAGUGGCACUGAGAUUAAGGCAAACUGUUUAAUUUUUCUUGUGUGUGAUGUUUGUCUUGUGGCCUUCUUCUGUCUUUGAAAAUGAACUUGCAGACAAGUAGCACAGAAACUACUGACCCUCCCGAAGCCACUGCCACUGAGACCAACGGCACUCCGCAAGCCGCUGAGACCAACGGCACUCCGGAAGCCGCUGAGACCAACGGCACUCCAGAAGCUACUGCUACUGAUACCACAGGCUCAUCAAAAGCCACAAGACCCCGGGGCCAGAAGGCAAAAAAAGACAAAAUCCAGUCCAACAGAGGGUAGCCAGCAAGAUGAAGCAAAAAAAAGUGUUAAGUACAUUUUCUCUAUUUAAAAUUAUAUGAUGUAUCAACUACACAUUGAUUCUGCCGUCACAGUUAGGUAUUGUCUAUGCUGGUAUAUUGGUAUACUUAUUAUAUAUUGGUAUACUGGUAUACUCUUUCAGAUGAGUGUCCAGAAUGCUGUUGGAGAGUGAGGCAAAACAACUUUGACUACUCCAAGGUUUUGAAAAGAAGAGUGAGAGAGGGAACAGAGGAGGUCCUCAUUUGUUGGGUUCCAUGCAAGACCUGUGGGACCAAAUGGAAGGACUCCUGGGAGCCCUCCUCCCUUCUUGAAUAAUGAAUUUAAAUUUUUUUAAAUUUUGUAUUUUUUUUAUAAUGAAUAAAAUAACUACAAACAUAAACA
Long non-coding RNA from Cyprinus carpio (common carp), 1048 nucleotides. The record is from Ensembl. NCBI's taxonomy places the organism in Eukaryota, Metazoa, Chordata, Actinopteri, Cypriniformes, Cyprinidae.